Molecule: transfer RNA, 76 nt
Filed under: Maritimibacter sp.
Lineage: Bacteria; Pseudomonadati; Pseudomonadota; Alphaproteobacteria; Rhodobacterales; Roseobacteraceae
Description: tRNA-Glu
Rfam family: tRNA
About the family: Transfer RNA (tRNA) molecules are approximately 80 nucleotides in length. Their secondary structure includes four short double-helical elements and three loops (D, anti-codon, and T loops).
Source: RNAcentral
UCCGACGUAGUCUAGUUGGUUAGGAUACCUGGUUUUCACCCAGGCGACCCGGGUUCGAGUCCCGGCGUCGGAACUA